GAUGAACGCUAGCUACAGGCUUAACACAUGCAAGUCGAGGGGAAACGAUAGAGAAAGCUUGCUUUUUCUAGGCGUCGACCGGCGCACGGGUGAGUAACGCGUAUCCAACCUGCCCACCACUUGGGGAUAACCUUGCGAAAGUAAGACUAAUACCCAAUGACGUCUCUAGAAGACAUCUGAAAGAGAUUAAAGAUUUAUCGGUGAUGGAUGGGGAUGCGUCUGAUUAGCUUGUUGGCGGGUAAGCCACCAAGGCGACGAUCAGUAGGGGUUCUGAGAGGAAGGUCCCCCANAUUGGAACUGAGACACGGUCCAAAACUCCUACGGGAAGGCAGGCAGGUGACGGAAUAUUGGUCAAUGGACGAGAGUCUGAACCAGCCAAGUAGCGUGCAGGAUGACGGCCCUAUGGGUUGUAAAC
RNAcentral lists this ribosomal RNA (415 nucleotides) under uncultured bacterium. RNAcentral's name for it is "bacterial SSU rRNA". It matches the Rfam family "Bacterial small subunit ribosomal RNA", at positions 28 to 430 of the family's 1533-position model. The record is from RNAcentral.